RNAcentral lists this ribosomal RNA (253 nucleotides) under uncultured bacterium. Its description in RNAcentral is "partial 16S ribosomal RNA". It matches the Rfam family "Bacterial small subunit ribosomal RNA", at positions 524 to 776 of the family's 1533-position model. The record is from RNAcentral.
UACGUAGGAUCCGAGCGUUGUCCGGAGUUACUGGGUGUAAAGGGUGCGCAGGCUGCUCUGUGCGUCAGGGGUGAAAUCCACGGGCUCAACUCGUGGGGUGCCUUUGAUACGGCGGAGCUGGAGUGCAGGAGAGGCAGAUGGAAUUCCUGGUGUAGCAGUGAAAUGCGUAGAUAUCAGGAGGAACACCGGUGGCGAAGGCGGUCUGCUGGCCUGUAACUGACGCUGAGGCACGAAAGCGUGGGGAUCAAACAGG